GACGAACCGAGCGAACGUUAUUCGGAAUCACUGGGCUUAAAGCGCGUGUAGGCGGCUCUUCAAGUCAGGCGUGAAAGCCCCGGGCUCAACUCGGGAACUGCGCUUGAUACUGUCGAGCUAGAGUGUGGAAGGGGCGAUUGGAAUUCCGUGUGUAGCGGUGAAAUGCGUAGAUAUACGGAGGAACACCAGAGGCGAAGGCGGAUCGCUGGGCCAACACUGACGCUGAGACGCGAAAGCUAGGGUAGCAAACGGG
Molecule: ribosomal RNA, 253 nt
Filed under: uncultured bacterium
Lineage: Bacteria
Description: partial 16S ribosomal RNA
Rfam family: Bacterial small subunit ribosomal RNA
Source: RNAcentral